Molecule: transfer RNA, 72 nt
Filed under: Lachnospiraceae bacterium
Lineage: Bacteria; Bacillati; Bacillota; Clostridia; Lachnospirales; Lachnospiraceae
Description: tRNA-Met
Rfam family: tRNA
About the family: Transfer RNA (tRNA) molecules are approximately 80 nucleotides in length.
Source: RNAcentral
GGGUCUUUAGCUCAGUUGGGAGAGCAGGCGUCUCAUAAGCGCCAGGCGCCGGUCCGAGUCCGGCAGGGCCCA